Lycium ferocissimum is the source of this 165-nucleotide long non-coding RNA. RefSeq lists it as uncharacterized. The record is from RefSeq and is a predicted model, not a curated record. NCBI's taxonomy places the organism in Eukaryota, Viridiplantae, Streptophyta, Magnoliopsida, Solanales, Solanaceae. The transcript has 2 exons.
AUUUAUUUUGCAUAGUCUCCCAUGGCAUUUGAUGUUGGAUCCUCACACAUUCCUGUGCCGGAUGUACAGACUUUAGAGCCACAGGAUGCGGGUGUGAUACAAGAGGAGGUUCACCAACGUAGAUCAAAACGACAGCGCCGGCAAACUCGGUGUGGCACGGGGGGG